RNAcentral lists this ribosomal RNA (497 nucleotides) under uncultured bacterium. Its description in RNAcentral is "partial 16S ribosomal RNA". It matches the Rfam family "Bacterial small subunit ribosomal RNA", at positions 28 to 507 of the family's 1533-position model. The record is from RNAcentral.
GAUGAACGCUGGCGGCGUGCCUAAUACAUGCAAGUCGAGCGAACGGACGAGAAGCUUGCUUCUCUGAUUUUAUCGGCGGACGGGUGAGUAACACGGGGAUAACCUACCUAUAAGACUGGGAUAACUACGGGAAACCGUAUCUAAUACCGGAUAAUAUUUUGAACCUCAUUGUUCAAAAGUGAAAUACGGUCUUGCUGUCACUUAUAGAUGGAUCCGCGCUGCAUUAGCUAGUUGGUAAGGUAACGGCUUACCAAGGCUACGAUGCAUACCCGACCUGAGAGGGUGGUCGGCCAGACUGGAAGUGAGACACGGUCCAGACUCCUACGGGAGGCAGCAGUAGGGAAUCUUCCGCGAUGGGCGAAAGCCUGACGGAGCAACGCCGCGUGAGUGAUGAAGGUCUUCGGAUCGUAAAACUCUGUUAUUAGGAAAGAACAUAUGUGUAAGUAACUGUGCACAUCUUGACGGUACCUAGUCAGAAAGCCACGGCUAACUCCGUG